Cannabis sativa is the source of this 479-nucleotide long non-coding RNA. RefSeq lists it as uncharacterized. Lineage: Eukaryota; Viridiplantae; Streptophyta; Magnoliopsida; Rosales; Cannabaceae. The record is from RefSeq and is a predicted model, not a curated record. The transcript has 2 exons.
UGGUUGCAGACAAAGAGAAUCUUGCCAAUUGUAAAUAAAUGAAAAAAUUAGGCAUUACAUAACCUCCUGUUAAGCAAAUAUUGAUUUUUUGAGAUAGAUCAUACUCGAUUGCUAUAAAUGUCUGCUACUUUAAAAGCUACAAAAAAGGUCGACUAUAAUGAAAAAUGCUCGAUUCCGCAAGUAAGCUAUGCGGGUCGUGGAGAACAAUUAGCACAGUAUGCACAUUCUUUUUUUUUUUUUUUUUUUCGAGGGACAGUAUGCACAUUCAAACAUUAGAAAUUUCCACAUUCCACAACAUCAAAACUGGUAAUGUCUGUGGGGGUAACAAGAGUUUGAGAAAAAAGUCCUCACAACUUGUACUUGGGUUUUUUUUUUUUUUUUUUUUUGAAGAAUGUAUUUUGGUUAAUCAAAUUGUACUGAAACAACUUAUAACUUUAAUAGGUAAGAUAUAAACUCCAGUGUCCCUAAUUGAUGAACUG